RNAcentral lists this ribosomal RNA (406 nucleotides) under uncultured bacterium. Its description in RNAcentral is "partial 16S ribosomal RNA". It matches the Rfam family "Bacterial small subunit ribosomal RNA", at positions 30 to 526 of the family's 1533-position model. The record is from RNAcentral.
AUUGAACGCUGGCGGCAAGCCUAACACAUGCAAGUCGAACGAGUGGCGGACGGGUGAGUAAUGUCUGGGAAACUGCCUGAUGGAGGGGGAUAACUACUGGAAACGGUAGCUAAUACCGCAUACCCUCGGAGGGCCCAAGAGGGGAUUAGAUAGUAGGUGGGGUAAAGGCUCACCUAGGCGACGAUCCCUAGCUGGUCUGAGAGGAUGACCAGCCACACUGGAGCUGAGACACGGUCCAGACUCCUCCGGGAGGCAGCAGUGGGGAAUAUUGCACAAUGGGCGCAAGCCUGAUGCAUCCAUGCCGCGUGUAUGAAGAAGGCCUUCGGGUUGUAAAGUACGUUCAGCGGGGAGGCGUUACCCGCAGAAGAAGCACCGGCUAACUCCGUGCCAGCAGCCGCGGUAAUUC